Molecule: ribosomal RNA, 381 nt
Filed under: uncultured eukaryote
Lineage: Eukaryota
Description: SSU rRNA
Rfam family: Eukaryotic small subunit ribosomal RNA
Source: RNAcentral
AGCUCCAAUAGCGUAUAUUAAAGUUGCUGCGGUUAAACAGCUCGUAGUUGGAUUUCUGUUGAGGACGACCGGUCCGCCCUCUGGGUGAGCAUCUGGCUUUGCCUUGGCAUCACCUUGGGAACCGCUACUGCACUUGAUUGUGUGGUGUGACACCCAAGUAUUUUACUUUGAGGAAAUCAGAGUGCUUCCAGCAGGCAUGUGCCUUGCAUACACUAGCAUGGAAUAAUGUGACAAGACUUUGGUUUUAGCUUGUUGGUGUUUAGAAUUGAAGUAAUGAUUGAUAGGGAUAGUUGGGGGCAUUUGUAUUUAAUUGUCAGAGGUGAAAUUCUUGGAUUUGUUAAGGACACACGAUUGCGAAAGCAUUUGCCAAGGAUGUUUUCU